GCCAGGGGAUUGGCUGAAGCUCAGUGGUAGAGCAUCUGCUUUGCAUGUAGAAGACACUAGGUUGAAUCGCCAGGGCUGGCU
Non-coding RNA from Podarcis lilfordi (Lilford's wall lizard), 81 nucleotides. The record is from the annotation of a GenBank genome assembly. Lineage: Eukaryota; Metazoa; Chordata; Lepidosauria; Squamata; Lacertidae.